UACACACCGCCCGUCACACCAUGGGAGUCGUUUGCUCCAGAAGUGCCUGCGCAAACCCGCAAGGGAUGUAGGGCCCAAGGAGUGAACGGUAACUGGGGUG
Molecule: ribosomal RNA, 100 nt
Filed under: uncultured bacterium
Lineage: Bacteria
Description: partial 16S ribosomal RNA
Rfam family: Bacterial small subunit ribosomal RNA
Source: RNAcentral